CGGACGGGUGAGUAAUGCCUAGGAAUCUGCCUGGUAGUGGGGGACAACGUUUCGAAAGGAACGCUAAUACCGCAUACGUCCUACGGGAGAAAGCAGGGGACCUUCGGGCCUUGCGCUAUCAGAUGAGGCCUAGGUCGGAUUAGCUAGUUGGUGAGGUAAUGGCUCACCAAGGCGACGNUCCGUAACUGGUCUGAGAGGAUGAUCAGUCACACUGGAACUGAGACACGGUCCAGACUCCUACGGGAGGCAGCAGCC
This 255-nucleotide ribosomal RNA is filed under the name uncultured Pseudomonas sp. Its description in RNAcentral is "partial 16S ribosomal RNA". It matches the Rfam family "Bacterial small subunit ribosomal RNA", at positions 99 to 355 of the family's 1533-position model. Lineage: Bacteria; Pseudomonadati; Pseudomonadota; Gammaproteobacteria; Pseudomonadales; Pseudomonadaceae. The record is from RNAcentral.